Molecule: ribosomal RNA, 229 nt
Filed under: uncultured bacterium
Lineage: Bacteria
Description: partial 16S ribosomal RNA
Rfam family: Bacterial small subunit ribosomal RNA
Source: RNAcentral
ACUCCUACGGGAGGCAGCAGUGAGAAUGAUUGGACUGAAUGGAGGCAAGCUCUGAUCCAGCCAUGCCGCGUGCAGGAAGACUGCCCUAUGGGUUGUAAACUGCUUUUAUACAGGAAGAAACCACUCUACGUGUAGAGUUCUGACGGUACUGUAAGAAUAAGGAUCGGCUAACUCCGUGCCAGCAGCCGCGGUAAUACGGAGGAUCCAAGCGUUAUCCGGAAUCAUUGGG